UACGUAGGUGGCGAGCGUUGUCCGGAUUUACUGGGCGUAAAGGAUGCGUAGGCGGAUAUUUAAGUGAGAUGUGAAAUACCCGGGCUUAACUUGGGUGCUGCAUUUCAAACUGGAUAUCUAGAGUGCGGGAGAGGAGAAUGGAAUUCCUAGUGUAGCGGUGAAAUGCGUAGAGAUUAGGAAGAACACCAGUGGCGAAGGCGAUUCUCUGGACCGUAACUGACGCUGAGGCAUGAAAGCGUGGGUAGCAAACAGG
Molecule: ribosomal RNA, 253 nt
Filed under: uncultured Clostridium sp.
Lineage: Bacteria; Bacillati; Bacillota; Clostridia; Eubacteriales; Clostridiaceae
Also listed under: 1 other name
Description: partial 16S ribosomal RNA
Rfam family: Bacterial small subunit ribosomal RNA
Source: RNAcentral